Molecule: long non-coding RNA, 604 nt
Filed under: Volvox carteri
Lineage: Eukaryota; Viridiplantae; Chlorophyta; Chlorophyceae; Chlamydomonadales; Volvocaceae
Description: long non-coding RNA (VCAR_LNC001612)
Source: RNAcentral
AGCCCCUAAUUGACGCCCCUGUGUAGUUGCUGUUGUACACAGUACGGCACACAUAUUUACUACAAGUACGCGCGAAGCGCUUGACCAGCAUCUCGGGAGGCCUUUUCAGCGGUGGCCAGCUACCGCAGUCUGAAACACCUGCCAUCUUACCUCAAGCUCUAGCUUAAUAACAACACCUACGUACAAAUGCACACACACACAACACAACAUAUAUCCAACGCUUAUCAGCCCCUGCCCAUAAACUAGAAGGCAGGGUCAACCGCCUUGGACUUGCAGUUCGUAUGGCGUAGUACAGUGUGGUAAUGGUGGAUGGUGCUGUAUGGCGUGAUAAAUCGUAGAAAUGAUCAUGUGUUCAAGUGGCCCAGAAGCCUCCCACUCUGUAACAACAUCACCUUGGGAUGCAUCGGUGGUGUUCGUACCGAGGCCACCAGCCCUUAAUGGCAAUAUUUCAUACCGGACCUGUGGGAACCUGAACGCCUGGCAAGGAUGCUGGAACGUAUAUGAUCCCACCACAACUCUAUCGUUCCCUUUGGUCGUUAGUAUCCUUUAUUACUUGCUUUGUUUGAAAUGCGAGGUAGGAUGGUGCUUGUAGGCGAUCUGGCAG